GGGAGUGUGGCUCAGUGGUAGAGUGCUUGCCUUGCAUGCAUGAGGCCCUGGGUUCGAUUCCCCAGCACCA
Molecule: transfer RNA, 70 nt
Filed under: Dipodomys ordii (Ord's kangaroo rat)
Lineage: Eukaryota; Metazoa; Chordata; Mammalia; Rodentia; Heteromyidae
Rfam family: tRNA
About the family: Transfer RNA (tRNA) molecules are approximately 80 nucleotides in length. Their secondary structure includes four short double-helical elements and three loops (D, anti-codon, and T loops).
Source: Rfam by way of RNAcentral